AGGUCGCUGCUAUCGGCGUCCGACUAAGCCAUGCAAGCCCAGGCCCCCUUUGCGGGACCGGCGAACUGCUCAGUAACACGUCACUAACCUGCCCAGGGGUCCGGGAUAACCUCGGGAAACUGAGGAUAAUACCGGAUAGGGAAUGGGUACUGGAAUGUCCCGUUCCCGAAAGCUUCGGCGCCCCUGGAUGGGGUGGCGGCCGAUUAGGUAGUUGGUGGGGUAAAGGCCCACCAAGCCGACGAUCGGUACGGGCUAUGAGAGUGGGAGCCCGGAGAAGGGUACUGAGAUACGGACCCUAGCCCUACGGGGUGCAGCAGGCGCGAAACCUCUGCAAUGCCUGACAGGGUGACAGGGGGACGCCGAGUGCUCACGCUUUCGCGUGGGCUUUUGCCAAGGGUAAGAACCUUGGCGAAUAAGGGGUGGGCAAGACCGGUGCCAGCCGCCGCGGUAACACCGGCGCCCCGAGUGGGGACCGCUCUUAUUGGGCCUAAAGCAUCCGUAGCCGGCCCGGUAAAUCUUCUGUGAAAUCGGCCAGCUCAACUGGUCGGCGUGCAGAAGACACUGCCGGGCUAGGGACCGGGAGACGCUGGAGGUAUUCCCCGGGUACCGGUAAAAUGGGAUAAUCCGGGGAGGACCACCUGUGGCGAAGGCGUCCAGCGAGAACGGGUCCGACGGUGAGGGAUGAAAGCCAGGGGAGCAAAUGGGAUUAGAUACCCCAGUAGUCCUGGCCGUAAACUCUGAGAGGUAGGUGUUGCAUGUCCCACGAGGGCAUGCAGCAUCGAAGGGAAGCCGUAGACCUCUCCGCCUGGGAAGUACGGUCGCAAGGCUGAAACUUAAAGGAAUUGGCGGGGGAGCACCACAAGGGGUGCGGCGUGCGGUUUAAUCGGAUUCAACGCCGAGAACCUUACCGGGGGCGACAGCAGGAUGAAGGUCCGUCUGAAGGGCGUACCUGACGCGCUGAGAGGUUGUGCAUGGCCGUCGUCAGCUCGUGCCGUGAGGUGUCCUGUUAAGUCAGGUAACGAGCGAGACCCGUGCCCACAAUUGCCAGCGUGCGCUUCGGCGUGAACGGGCACUUUGUGGGGACUGCCUGCGAAAGCAGGAGGAAGGUGCGGGCGACGGUAGGUCUGUAUGCCCCGAAUCUCCCGGGCUACACGCGCGCAACAAUGGCCUGGACAAUGGGCUGCGACGCCGAAAGGCGAAGCGAAUCCUCGAAACCAGGCCUCAGUUCAGAUCGAGGGUUGCAACUCACCCUCGUGACGCCGGAAUCCCUAGUAAUCGGAGUUCAACAUGCUCCGGUGAACACGUCCCUGUUCCU
Molecule: ribosomal RNA, 1315 nt
Filed under: uncultured archaeon
Lineage: Archaea
Description: bacterial SSU rRNA
Rfam family: Archaeal small subunit ribosomal RNA
Source: RNAcentral